Non-coding RNA from Coturnix japonica (Japanese quail), 392 nucleotides. The record is from RefSeq and is a predicted model, not a curated record. NCBI's taxonomy places the organism in Eukaryota, Metazoa, Chordata, Aves, Galliformes, Phasianidae.
GGCACCUUUCGGGAGAGCGGUUCUUCAUCCCCUUCUAAGCAGGGAAACGAAUAUGUCCUGGAGAGGGCCUGGCACGUAUGGAGAUAUUCUUACUCCUCACCACCAUCCUGCAGAACUUCACCUUGAAGCCUGUUGUCAGCCCCGAGGAACUCAGCAUCACCCCAACACUGAGUGGGACAGGAAACGUUCCUCCCCUACUACCAGCUCUGUGCUAUCCCCCGCUGAGGGGGCACAAAACCUCACUGCUCUGCUCCUGAGACACUCUGCUCCUUUACCCCCUCCCCACCUCAAACCAGAGCAGGAGCAUUGCCCCACCAACCCAAAGCCCUCCACGAGGACAACCCACAGACAAAGUCCCAGACAGAUCAAACAUGGAUGCUCUGACCACCUCC